GUCACCCCUCUCACUUUGCCAAUAAGACAUGUCAUGUCUCUGCUGGCCAUUCAAGUGGGGUAGAGUAAAAUGUCCUUUUAAAAAUCCAAGCAUAUUAUAUAUUUGACUUGGUUCCUGUCAGAGGGGAUAAUU
Rhincodon typus (whale shark) is the source of this 132-nucleotide small nucleolar RNA. RefSeq annotates it as small nucleolar RNA SNORA27. The record is from RefSeq and is a predicted model, not a curated record. The transcript has a single exon. NCBI's taxonomy places the organism in Eukaryota, Metazoa, Chordata, Chondrichthyes, Orectolobiformes, Rhincodontidae.